AACGCUAGCUACAGGCUUAACACAUGCAAGUCGUGGGGCAUCAGGAAGAAAGCUUGCUUUCUUUGCUGGCGACCGGCGCACGGGUGAGUAACACGUAUCCAACCUGCCCUUUACUCGGGGAUAGCCUUUCGAAAGAAAGAUUAAUACCCGAUAGCAUAAUGAUUCCGCAUGGUUUCAUUAUUAAAGGAUUCCGGUAAAGGAUGGGGAUGCGUUCCAUUAGGUUGUUGGUGAGGUAACGGCCCACCAAGCCUUCGAUGGAUAGGGGUUCUGAGAGGAAGGUCCCCCACAUUGGAACUGAGACACGGUCCAAACUCCUACGGGAGGCAGCAGUGAGGAAUAUUGGUCAAUGGGCGCUAGCCUGAACCAGCCAAGUAGCGUGAAGGAUGAAGGCUCUAUGGGUCGUAAACUUCUUUUAUAUAAGAAUAAAGUGCAGUAUGUAUACUGUUUUGUAUGUAUUAUAUGAAUAAGGAUCGGCUAACUCCGUGCCAGCAGCCGCGGUAAUACGGAGGAUCCGAGCGUUAUCCGGAUUUAUUGGGUUUAAAGGGAGCGUAGGUGGACUGGUAAGUCAGUUGUGAAAGUUUGCGGCUCAACCGUAAAAUUGCAGUUGAUACUGUCAGUCUUGAGUACAGUAGAGGUGGGCGGAAUUCGUGGUGUAGCGGUGAAAUGCUUAGAUAUCACGAAGAACUCCGAUUGCGAAGGCAGCUCACUGGACUGCAACUGACACUGAUGCUCGAAAGUGUGGGUAUCAAACAGGAUUAGAUACCCUGGUAGUCCACACAGUAAACGAUGAAUACUCGCUGUUUGCGAUAUACAGUAAGCGGCCAAGCGAAAGCAUUAAGUAUUCCACCUGGGGAGUACGCCGGCAACGGUGAAACUCAAAGGAAUUGACGGGGGCCCGCACAAGCGGAGGAACAUGUGGUUUAAUUCGAUGAUACGCGAGGAACCUUACCCGGGCUUAAAUUGCAGUGGAAUGAUGUGGAAACAUGUCAGUGAGCAAUCACCGCUGUGAAGGUGCUGCAUGGUUGUCGUCAGCUCGUGCCGUGAGGUGUCGGCUUAAGUGCCAUAACGAGCGCAACCCUUAUCUUUAGUUACUAACAGGUUAUGCUGAGGACUCUAGAGAGACUGCCGUCGUAAGAUGUGAGGAAGGUGGGGAUGACGUCAAAUCAGCACGGCCCUUACGUCCGGGGCUACACACGUGUUACAAUGGGGGGUACAGAAGGCAGCUAGCGGGUGACCGUAUGCUAAUCCCAAAAUCCUCUCUCAGUUCGGAUCGAAGUCUGCAACCCGACUUCGUGAAGCUGGAUUCGCUAGUAAUCGCGCAUCAGCCACGGCGCGGUGAAUACGUUCCCGGGCCUUGUACACACCGCCCGUCAAGCCAUGGGAGCCGGGGGUACCUGAAGUACGUAACCGCAAGGAUCGUCCUAGGGUAAAACUGGUGAAA
RNAcentral lists this ribosomal RNA (1441 nucleotides) under uncultured organism. RNAcentral's name for it is "SSU rRNA". It matches the Rfam family "Bacterial small subunit ribosomal RNA". The record is from RNAcentral.